GCAGCCCUGGGAGAAGAGCCCCAGCCCUUCUGUCUGUGCUGAACCCCUCCUGUCCCCAGAACUGUCCCCACAGCCCUCAGCAUGCAGUCUGCCCUCACGUUGGUUUCCAUCCUGACCCUGCUUCAAGGUGUCCAGGGUGAUGUCCAGCUGGUGGAGUCCGGUGGAGACCUGAGACAGCCCGGGGGGUCUCUGCGCCUCUCCUGUAAAGCCUCUGGAUUCUCCUUCAGUAGCAAUUACUGGAUGAGCUGGGUCCGCCAGGCUCCAGGGAAGGGGCUCGAGUGGGUCGCAAGUAUAGCUACCAGCAGUGGCAGCACAUACUAUGCAGACUCUGUGAAAGGCCGAUUCACCAUCUCCAAGGACAACGCCAACAGCCUGGUACAUCUGCAGAUGAACAGCCUGAAAACCGAGGACACGGCCCUUUAUUACUGUGCGAGAGACACAGUGAGAGAAACCACAUCGUAAGCCUGUCAGAAACCCAGGGAGGAUUCCUGGGCUGCAGCUGUCUGGAGGAGCAGAGCAGCAGAGACCACAGACAACAGGCCCAGCCUGGAUUUCCCAUCUUCCCUCUCAAUGAUUACUAAAAGCCCCUUAUUUUACACGUUCUAACAUUUGCACAAGAGGUAAACAUUUUUCCUCUUAAGGGUGAAACAUUCCUUAAGAAUUUCUCCUCUGUUCAAUUUCUAUUUAAGCAUAUUUAUUUUCUGAUGCUCAAAUAAAACAACAAAAGACUGAAAGUCAAAAAUUCUGAAAUAGGAGAGAGUCCAGUGAUUCACCAUGGUAUGGAGUCUAUUGUUACUAAUGAAACACAUCCUAAGAACACAUUUAAUCAACUUUGCUAAUGAACACUGCACCUUCCUUCUCUGAAUUUCACCUCUAAUUUUGCGAUGGUCUCUCUGAGAAGGGCAUGUAGAGCUAGAAGCAGAAAGUGUGAGAGAGUUAGUAUAAGAGAAAUUAAAGAGGCAACAAAACUGGGUACAAUGUACUUACUGAUCCAUAAAGUUUUAAUAACUUAUUGGUUAUUUUAUGAAACCUGUUGUGAAGGGUUUAUCAGUGAAGAGGAAACAGAUGACACCAGACUGAAUGGAAACAGCAUCCAAGCAAUCAGUAGUAUUUCUUAAUCAGCAAUCAAUCAUCAAUCACAUUUAUUGAGCAUUUACUGUGCCCAAUAUUCCCAUAACUUUUCCUCACCCUCCAUAAUCAUCUGGGAUCUUUGUAUACUACCCAGUGAAAGAUAUUUCUCUCCAGUCUAACAAAAUUCAUAUCGUAGAAGCAUUGAGGAAUCCCAAAGAGUGUAUUGAACAUAGAUACCAUUUUGCUAAAGUUUCCCAA
Molecule: non-coding RNA, 1329 nt
Organism: Ornithorhynchus anatinus (platypus)
Lineage: Eukaryota; Metazoa; Chordata; Mammalia; Monotremata; Ornithorhynchidae
Source: the annotation of a RefSeq genome assembly